This 450-nucleotide ribosomal RNA is filed under the name uncultured Glomeromycotina. Its description in RNAcentral is "SSU rRNA". It matches the Rfam family "Eukaryotic small subunit ribosomal RNA", at positions 569 to 1024 of the family's 1831-position model. The record is from RNAcentral. Lineage: Eukaryota; Fungi; Glomeromycota.
AGCAGCCGCGGUAAUUCCAGCUCCAAUAGCGUAUAUUAAAGUUGUUGCAGUUAAAAAGCUCGUAGUUGAAUUUCGGGAUCAAUAUGUUGGUCGUGCCUUGGUACGUACUGGCGUCAUUGGUUUCUACCUUCUGAAGAACCUCGAUGUCAUUAAUUUGGUGUCUUGGGGAAUCAGGACUGUUACUUUGAAAAAUUAGAGUGUUUAAAGCAAGCUCACGCUUGAAUACAUUAGCAUGGAAUAAUGAAAUAGGACGUUUGAUUCUAUUUUGUUGGUUUCUAGGAUCGACGUAAUGAUUAAUAGGGAUAGUUGGGGGCAUUAGUAUUCAAUUGUCAGAGGUGAAAUUCUUGGAUUUAUUGAAGACUAACUACUGCGAAAGCAUUUGCCAAGGAUGUUUUCAUUAAUACAAGAACGAAAGUUAGGGGAUCGAAGACGAUCAGAUACCGUCGUAGU